AUGCUCGGCUUCCUUGCGCAGCUUCUCGGCAGCGGCCUGGGCCUGCGCCUGGGCCUGGGCCUGCUCCUCCGCGGACUGCUUCAGGCGCUCCGCCUCCUCCAGCUGCCGCCGGGACUGCGCCGCCUCGCGCUCGGCCCGCUCCCGCGCCUCCUCCGCCUCUUCCGCUGCCCGCCGGGCUGCCUCCGCCUCACCACGCAGCCGCUCCAGCACGCUCUGCUCCUGCUGGAGGGUCUGCUGCAGCUCCUGCUCCUUCUGCUGCACCGCGAAGGCGUGCGCCUUCUCCUCUGCGUGCAGCCGCUUCUGGGCGGCCUCCUGGGCCAGCUGCAGCUGCCGGGCGGACUCCUGCUCUGCGCGCUCGCGCAGGCGCCGCGCCUCCUCCACCUUGGCCUUGAGUCGCUCCACCUCUUCCAGGGCGGCCUUCCGCUGCCGCGCGGCCUCCUCCUCCGCCGCCAGGCUCUUCUGCACGCGCUCCUCCGCCUCGCGGCGCCGCCGCUCCUCCUCCGCCGCCAGCUGCCGCUGCCGCGCAGCCUCCCGCUCUGCCUGCUCCUUGCUGCGCAGCGUGUCCUCGGCGUUGCCGCGGAUGCGCCCCAGCUCCAGCUCCAGCUCCGCCUUGCCCGCAGCCGCUUUCUCGAAGCUCGCCUUGAGGGCCAGGAUCUCCUCCUCCACCUGGCGCCGCUGCCGCAGCGUGUCCUCCACCAGCCCCUUCUGCCGCUCCAGCUCGCUCUCCGAUGCCUUGCGCAGCUGCGCCAGCCGCUCCUCGAUGUCGGCCUUGUGCUGGGCCGCCUGCUCCUCCAGCCGCCGCCGCUGGAAGGCCUCAUCCUCCGCCAGUCGCCGCAGGCGCUCGUUCUCCGCCUCCUUCUCCUUGAGCGCGAUCUCCGCCUCGGUCUUGAGCCGCGCGGCCUCGCUGAUGGCGGCCAGCUUCUCGGAGAGCACCCGCUCGGCCUCCGCCCGCUGCCGCGCCGCGUCCUCCUCCGCCAGCUGCCGCUGCCGCUUGGCCUCCUCCGCCAGGGCGCGCAGGCGAGCGGCCUCCUCGGCCAGCUCGCGGAAGCGGCCGGCCUCGGCUUCCAGCCGCUGCUUGGACUUCUCGCUGGUGGAGCGCGACUCCUCCUCGGCCCGCGCCUUGCUGGCCAGCAGCACCUCCAUCUCAGCCCUCACCUUGGCCAGCUCGGCCUCCAGCUCCUGACGCUUCUGCGUGGCCGUAGCCGCCUCCUGCUGCAGCCGCGCCAGCUCUUCCUCCAGCAGCUGCCGCUGCUGCUCCCCCUGCUCGGUCUCGGCCCGCAGCCGGAUCAGCUCCUGUUCCGCCGCCAGCCGCUGCUGCGCGGUGCCCUCUGCCAGCUGCCGUUGCUUCUCCAGCUCCUGCUCGGCGAGCUCCCGCUGCCGCACCGCCUGCUCCUCCGCCUUGCCGCGCCGCCGCGCCUCGCGCUCCGCCUCCUCCUUCUGCUUCUCCGCCUCGGCCUGCGCCAGGCUCUUCUGCUGCGCCACCUCCUCUGCCUGCAGCCGCAGCCGCAGCGCCUCGUUGGCCUUCAGCUGCCAGCGCUCCAGCUCCCGCUCGGCCUCCUCGCGGGCGCGCUCGGCCUCGGCCUGCUGCUGCGCGUGCCGAGUGGCCUCCUCGCGGAGCUGGGCCACCGUCACGUGCUCCUCCUUGAGGGUGCGCUCCAGCUGCGCCGUCUUCUCCACGAAGGAUGCUUGCUUACUCUGCAGCUCUGCUUCCGCGCUGCGCUGGGCUGUCUCCAGGGCCACCUGCACCUGGCGUGCGCGCUCCGCCUCUGCCUGGCGCAGGCGCCGCUCCGCCUCCUCGGCCUGCAGCCGCAGCUCCUCCAGCGCCUGCAGGGCCCGCUGCUUCUCGCGAGCCGCCUCGGCCUCGGCUUUCACACGCAGAGCCAGCUCGGCCUCCGCCUGCCGCUUGCGCUGCGUCUCAUCCUGCACCUGGCGUCGCAAGCGCUCUGCCUCCUCCUGGGCCUGGCGCUUCUGCGCCUCGGCUUCUUCCGCCCGCGCACGCAGGGCCUGCAGCUCGCCCUCAGCGCCGCCGCGUUGGCGCUCAGUCGCCUCCAGCUGGAGUCGCACCACGCGGAUCUCCUCUUCGAUCCGUAG
Molecule: long non-coding RNA, 2091 nt
Filed under: Catagonus wagneri (Chacoan peccary)
Lineage: Eukaryota; Metazoa; Chordata; Mammalia; Artiodactyla; Tayassuidae
Description: lncRNA (ENSCWAG00000020620.1)
Source: RNAcentral